Molecule: unclassified non-coding RNA, 336 nt
Filed under: soil metagenome
Description: partial contains 5.8S ribosomal RNA, internal transcribed spacer 2, and large subunit ribosomal RNA
Rfam family: 5.8S ribosomal RNA (bases 1-120)
Source: RNAcentral
GAUGAAGAACGUAGCGAAAUGCGAUAAGUAAUGUGAAUUGCAGAAUUCAGUGAAUCAUCGAAUCUUUGAACGCACAUUGCGCCCGCCAGUAUUCUGGCGGGCAUGCCUGUUCGAGCGUCAUUUCAACCAUCAAGCCCCAGGCUUGUGUUGGGGACCUGCGGCUGCCGCAGGCCCUGAAAACCAGUGGCGGGCUCGCUGUCACACCGGGCGUAGUAGAUUUUAUCUCGCUCAGGGCGUGCUGCGGGUUCCGGCCGUUAAAAAGCCUUUUUUACCCAAGGUUGACCUCGGAUCAGGUAGGAAGACCCGCUGAACUUAAGCAUAUCCAUAAGCGGAGGA